GGAUUAGUAGUCAAGUGGUACGACACAGCCCUUUCAAAGCUGCGAUCGUGGGUUCGAUCCCCACCUAGUCUA
This is a non-coding RNA of Gnomoniopsis sp. IMI 355080, 72 nucleotides long. The record is from the annotation of a GenBank genome assembly. NCBI's taxonomy places the organism in Eukaryota, Fungi, Ascomycota, Sordariomycetes, Diaporthales, Gnomoniaceae.